GUGAAUCUGCAGCCUCAGAGGCUCACAUUCUUUAUCCUUUACACACCUGUGCACCCUUCUGAAGCGGAGGAGAGCCAUCAGGCACCUGUGCCGAGCGCCUCCCUUCGGUUACCACAUCAACUUCAGACCAUGUUUACUAGAAAGUGUGCCGUCUUGUUGUAAUGGCAAGCGCAAUCCGAUA
This 181-nucleotide unclassified non-coding RNA is filed under the name uncultured Geminibasidium. RNAcentral's name for it is "sequence contains ITS1". Lineage: Eukaryota; Fungi; Basidiomycota; Geminibasidiomycetes; Geminibasidiales; Geminibasidiaceae. The record is from RNAcentral.